This is a long non-coding RNA of Carassius auratus (goldfish), 546 nucleotides long. RefSeq lists it as uncharacterized. NCBI's taxonomy places the organism in Eukaryota, Metazoa, Chordata, Actinopteri, Cypriniformes, Cyprinidae. The record is from RefSeq and is a predicted model, not a curated record. The transcript has 3 exons.
UUGAAGAUGGCCCAGAGAGGUUAGCCUUACAGUUGCUGAUCUAGAAGCAUUAGGCAAGAGUGUCUGAGAACGAUGGUAUGAUCUGCAACACUGUCUUUUUUUUUAUUACUGAUUUAUUACUGACUAUCUAUUUCUUUCUUUGUUGUUAUUCACCAAGAGAGAACUCCCAUUAAUGGGAAUCAAAAGGAAACCCUGAAAUCAUGUUUUAAGGAUGGAAUGACACGAGUUGGUUCAGAAUUAUUACCAAGAGCUGCAUCAGCUACUGGUUUGGACACCAGUGUCGUAGAAAUAAGAACUGGAUAGGUAAUUACAAAAGAUCACAAAUGACUAAUGCUUCGUCUGAGCCCCGGUCAUCAAAGGCCAAAGUUCACAUUAGAGAGCUGUCGGAUUACAAUCUUUUUUAUAGGGACAUAUUCAAAAACAAAGGCACAAUGAAUGAUAUUAAGGGCAGGUGCGCCACAUUGGGGGAAGAUGCAAAGCAGAAAUACAUUCAAGAGGCAGCAGCACUGAGGGCACAUGGGCAGUCACAGGACACUAAACCCUGAG